AUUGAACGCUGGCGGAAUGCUUUACACAUGCAAGUCGAACGGCAGCACGGACUUCGGUCUGGUGGCGAGUGGCGAACGGGUGAGUAAUGUAUCGGAACGUGCCCAGUCGUGGGGGAUAACGUAGUGAAAAUUACGCUAAUACCGCAUACGAUCUAUGGAUGAAAGCGGGGGAUCGCAAGACCUCGCGCGAUUGGAGCGGCCGAUAUCAGAUUAGGUAGUUGGUGGGGUAAAGGCCCACCAAGCCAACGAUCUGUAGCUGGUCUGAGAGGACGACCAGCAACACUGGAACUGAGACACGGGCCAGACUCCUACGGGAGGCAGCAGUGGGGAAUUUUGGACAAUGGGCGAAAGCCUGAUCCAGCCAUUCCGCGUGCAGGAUGAAGGCCCUCGGGUUGUAAACUGCUUUUGUACAGAACGAAAAGGUUUCUACUAAUACUAGGAGCUCAUGACGGUACUGUAAGAAUAAGCACCGACUAACUACGUGCCAGCCGCCGCGGUAA
RNAcentral lists this ribosomal RNA (500 nucleotides) under uncultured bacterium. RNAcentral's name for it is "partial 16S ribosomal RNA". It matches the Rfam family "Bacterial small subunit ribosomal RNA", at positions 30 to 523 of the family's 1533-position model. The record is from RNAcentral.